RNAcentral lists this transfer RNA (72 nucleotides) under Xenosaurus grandis. RNAcentral describes it as "tRNA-Tyr". The record is from RNAcentral. Lineage: Eukaryota; Metazoa; Chordata; Lepidosauria; Squamata; Xenosauridae.
UGAUAAGAAAAGGAGUUAAACCUCUCUUCAUAGGACUACAGCCUACCGCUAUGGACGCUCAGCCAUCUUACC